This 253-nucleotide ribosomal RNA is filed under the name uncultured bacterium. RNAcentral's name for it is "partial 16S ribosomal RNA". It matches the Rfam family "Bacterial small subunit ribosomal RNA", at positions 524 to 776 of the family's 1533-position model. The record is from RNAcentral.
UACGUAGGGUGCGAGCGUUAAUCGGAAUUACUGGGCUUAAAGCGUGCGCAGGCGGCUUGGUAAGACAGAUGUGAAAUCCCCGGGCUCAACCUGGGAACUGCAUUUGUGACUGCAUCGCUGGAGUGCGGCAGAGGGAGAUGGAAUUCCGCGUGUAGCAGUGAAAUGCGUAGAUAUGCGGAGGAACACCGAUGGCGAAGGCAAUCCCCUGGGCCUGCACUGACGCUCAUGCACGAAAGCGUGGGGAGCAAACAGG